Molecule: long non-coding RNA, 90 nt
Filed under: Capra hircus (goat)
Lineage: Eukaryota; Metazoa; Chordata; Mammalia; Artiodactyla; Bovidae
Description: lncRNA (ENSCHIG00010001996.1)
Source: RNAcentral
GACAGAGACAAGAUGGUCAUCUGGGUUCCUGGAAGCUGAAUGCGGAGGGGCUUGCUGGCCGCGCCGAGGCAACCCAGAACAUGAGAAAGG